GUGUCAGUCAAGGAGAGCUCAUUAAUAUAAGCUCCCCGACACACAGCCUGUUCAUUCAGGCUUCCUGAUUGUUAGAGAUGAGAGAAAAGGCCACACAAACGCUUCACACCGCAUGGCCGGUGCCACUCUAACCUGGUGGUCCCAGCGCGCAUGACCCACGUGGAGUUCCAGGUCUCCGGUAGCCUCUGGAACUGCCGGUCUGCGGCCAACAAGGCAGAGUUCAUCUCAGCCUAUGCUACCCUCCAGUCCCUCGACUUCUUGGCGCUGACGGAAACAUGGAUUACCACAGAAAACACUACUACUCCUACUGCUCUCUCCUCGUCUGACCACGUGUUCUCGCAUACCCCGAGAGCAUCUGGUCAGCGGGGUGGUGGCACUGGAAUCCUCAUCUCUCCCAAGUGGACAUUCUCUCUUUCUCUCCUGACCCAUCUGUCUAUCUCCUCCUUUGAAUUCCAUGAUGUCACAGUCACUAGCACAUUCAAGCUUAACCUGUUAGGGCUAGGGGGCAGUAUUGACACGGCUGGAUAAAAAACAUACCCGAUUUAAUCUGGUUACCACUCCUACCCAGUAACUAGAAUAUGCAUAUACCUAUUACAUAUGGAUAGAAAACACCC
This 614-nucleotide long non-coding RNA is filed under the name Salmo salar (Atlantic salmon). RNAcentral describes it as "lncRNA (ENSSSAG00000111202.1, ENSSSAG00020061534.1)". The record is from RNAcentral. Lineage: Eukaryota; Metazoa; Chordata; Actinopteri; Salmoniformes; Salmonidae.